This 509-nucleotide ribosomal RNA is filed under the name uncultured bacterium. RNAcentral's name for it is "bacterial SSU rRNA". It matches the Rfam family "Bacterial small subunit ribosomal RNA", at positions 18 to 523 of the family's 1533-position model. The record is from RNAcentral.
CCUGGCUCAGGAUGAACGCUGGCGGCGUGCUUAACACAUGCAAGUCGAACGAAGCUUGAGUCUGAAAUUUUUCGGAAGGACAGAUGAUAUGACUGAGUGGCGGACGGGUGAGUAACGCGUGGGCAACCUGCCUUAUACAGGGGGAUAACAGUUAGAAAUGACUGCUAAUACCGCAUAAGCGCACGGGACCGCAUGGGUUUUUGUGUGAAAAGCCGAGACGGUAUGAGAUGGACCCGCGUCUGAUUAGCUGGUUGUGGGGUAACGGCCCACCAAGGCGACGAUCAGUAGCCGACCUGAGAGGGUGACCGGCCACAUUGGGGACUGAGACACGGCCCCAAACUCCUACGGGAGGCAGCAGUGGGGGAUAUUGCACAAUGGGGGAAACCCUGAUGCAGCGACGCCGCGUGAGUGAAGAAGUAUUUCGGUAUGUAAAGCUCUAUCAGCAGGGAAGAGAAUGACGGUACCUGAGUAAGAAGCCCCGGCUAACUACGUGCCAGCAGCCGCGGUAA